UACGUAGGGGGCAAGCGUUGUCCGGAUUUAUUGGGCGUAAAGAGCGUGUAGGCGGCCGCACAGGUCCGUUGUGAAAACUGGAGGCUUAACCUUCAGACGUCGAUGGAAACCGUGCGGCUAGAGUCCGGAAGAGGAGAAUGGAAUUCCUGGUGUAGCGGUGAAAUGCGCAGAUAUCAGGAAGAACACCCGUGGCUAAGGCGGUUCUCUAGUACGGUACUGACGCUGAGACGCGGAAGCGUGGGGAGCGAACAGG
RNAcentral lists this ribosomal RNA (253 nucleotides) under uncultured bacterium. RNAcentral's name for it is "partial 16S ribosomal RNA". It matches the Rfam family "Bacterial small subunit ribosomal RNA", at positions 524 to 776 of the family's 1533-position model. The record is from RNAcentral.